GACGAACGCUGGCGGCGUGCUUAACACAUGCAAGUCGAACGGAAAGGCCCUGCUUUUGUGGGGUGCUCGAGUGGCGAACGGGUGAGUAACACGUGAGUAACCUGCCCUUGACUUUGGGAUAACUUCAGGAAACUGGGGCUAAUACCGGAUAGGAGCUCCUGCUGCAUGGUGGGGGUUGGAAAGUUUCGGCGGUUGGGGAUGGACUCGCGGCUUAUCAGCUUGUUAGUGGGGUAGUGGCUUACCAAGGCUUUGACGGGUAGCCGGCCUGAGAGGGUGACCGGCCACAUUGGGACUGAGAUACGGCCCAGACUCCUACGGGAGGCAGCAGUGGGGAAUAUUGCACAAUGGGCGGAAGCCCGAUGCAGCAACGCCGCGUGCGGGAUGACGGCCUUCGGGUUGUAAACCGCCUUCGCCUGUGACGAAGCGUGAGUGACGGUAAUGGGUAAAGAAGCACCGGCUAACUACGUG
RNAcentral lists this ribosomal RNA (468 nucleotides) under uncultured bacterium. Its description in RNAcentral is "partial 16S ribosomal RNA". It matches the Rfam family "Bacterial small subunit ribosomal RNA", at positions 28 to 507 of the family's 1533-position model. The record is from RNAcentral.